This 675-nucleotide long non-coding RNA is filed under the name Anser brachyrhynchus (Pink-footed goose). RNAcentral describes it as "lncRNA (ENSABRG00000012910.1)". The record is from RNAcentral. Lineage: Eukaryota; Metazoa; Chordata; Aves; Anseriformes; Anatidae.
AUUAUUCUUUUUUCCAUAUUUGAUACUGCUGCUCUUGAGAAAAAAAGAAGGAGAAAGCCAAAUCCUACCCUCUACCUCAAAUCCAAAAAUGAGAUCCAUAUUGGUACAAUAAGAAGGACUAAAAUCUCCUUUCUUACUAUUGCUGAAAGCACAAAGACCUACAGCUGUUCAUAUUCAGUGACAUCCUGAUCUCUGUUGCAUCAAGCCUACAUGACGUAGCUUUACACCAGCUCUCCAAGUUUCAUGCAGCAGUUUCAGCAGACUCCUCAUACUAGAAACCUUCCAAGGGGACUUCAGAUGUGAAAACACAGAGAAGACCAAAGAAACUCUUCAUACUUUAUUCAGAAAUAUAAGGGUUGAGAGAAAAACAGCUCAGCCAGGACAUAACAGUGCCUUUGCCUCAGAGGCAAACUCACUUAUCUGUUUCAUCAUAAAGUACCAAACUGUUAGUGUUAUAAAGAAACAACAGGGAAGUAAAAAUAAGAAAACAAAGAGAAUAAGAAAUUUGAAAAAUGAAGGGAAAACGUGAUACAUUACAGUGAACAGGAGAUGAGAAAAUAUUCUUAUGUAUCAGCACAUAGCCUUUUACUAAAGAAAAUUAGGAUGGCCAUAGAAUUUGGUCUAAUUAUACACAAAAUGUAUAGAUUAAGUGAUUACUUUUACAUGGCAAUUUUG